GGGUCAGUAGGUUGGUCGUGCCACCGGUACGUACUGGUCUCACCGAUUCCUCCUUCCUGAAGAACCGUAAUGCCAUUAAUUUGGUGUUGCGGGGAAACAGGACUGUUACUUUGAAAAAAUUAGAGUGUUUAAAGCAAGCUAACGCUUGAAUACAUUAGCAUGGAAUAAUGAAAUAGGACGAUCGAUCCUAUUUUGUCGGUUUCUAGGAUUGACGUA
Molecule: ribosomal RNA, 216 nt
Filed under: Glomeromycotina sp.
Lineage: Eukaryota; Fungi; Glomeromycota
Description: partial small subunit ribosomal RNA
Rfam family: Eukaryotic small subunit ribosomal RNA (bases 46-216)
Source: RNAcentral